AACUUAGAAUACACAUCAAUGUAAUAUUUUUGUGUUCAGUUCACCACAAAUGAAUUUACUAAAAUUCAUAAUUAUAUAAAAUUAAUAAAUUUAUUAAAAUUCAUAACUAAUAUUUUUAAAAUUUUAAUUUAUUUGUUAAUGCAAAGCGUUCAUUGCAUGGGACUUCUACUAGUACGUAGAAAUAUAAUAAAUAUACUAGUGUAGUGACUGGCACGAUGCGGCGCGUAGAUAUAUUAUAAUCGUUUAAAAUUUAAGUUUGAAAUUUUAGAUCCUUAUAUUUCUAUAAGUUAUUUUGUAGAGAGUAAAACAUAUUUAUUUUAAAAGUUUUAGCAAUUUUAAAAUACAUUGAAAAGUAUGAAGAUUUUUGUUUGACAUUUCAAUUUUUUCCACUGAAGAAUCACGAUAGGUAUCAAACCACAUCUAUUUCCGAGAACUUUAUAUAGAUGUCUUAUUAUAUAGGUAGUAACGUGUAGGUUUAAUAAAAAAUAACAUAAAAUAUAUUUAGCAAACAAAUCCCAAUAUAUAUUUAGAUUGCGCUAACUGUGGCUUUAGGCUGCGUAAUAAUUAAUUAUUUCAAAAAUUCUAAAACCUAAUAUAAACAAAUCCAUCAAAAUUUCCAACACAAUCAAAUUAUUAUACAAUGGAAGCAUUAUGAUUUGUAAACAAAUCAAAUCAUUAUACAAUAGAGAUAUUAUGAUCUGUAAAUAAAAAUAAAUAUAAAAAUUUAUAACAUAGUAAUCAAAAUACUGAAAAUGUACCAAUAAUAAAAAAAAAUAUUAAAAUUUUUAAAAAAAAUUACCUUAAAUUGGAAGAGUCGAAUCUCACGUAAUUUAAAUAUACCAUACGGUAGAAAAAUCUGAACAAACAAAUAAAACAUCAAAUUCAAAUAAAAAAAAAACUUUUCAAAUAUAGUUAAUCGUUACAGGCAGAUGCGGUCAAUUUUCUUGAGACAAAGUAAACAGUAAUUACUAUAUCAUUUGUUAUUCAUCCAAAAUGAGUAUGAGUACAACCCUUUAUUUACACUCUAAAUUGACCUUUCAUAUUCUAAGAUGACUUUUCAUUUUCUUCUAUUAAAAUAUAUCAUUUUUCAUAUUCCCAACUUUUUAAAUUCUUAGAUAUAUUAAGUUAUCCAACCUUUCAACUUCUAAUUAAUUUUUAAAAAAUAAUAAAAAAAUUUGGUAACUCGAAAGUCGGCGAAGUGGAAAAAGUCACUUUUAUAAAAGUGACUUUUCAGUUCGAUUGUUUGGUUGCUAUAAAGUAAAAAAUUAAAACUAUAAUUUUAUAUUUUUUAUUAUUAAAUUAUAUAUAAAGAGGUAAAAAUGUAAACAAACGAUUUAUACUUGCAAUUUAAAUUGAAAAUUUAAAUUUAAAUUAAUAUUUAGAAUUCAAAGUUAUAUUCUAAAAUUUAAAUUUAAACUUAAAUCUGAGUUGAAUAUAUAAUUAA
Molecule: long non-coding RNA, 1444 nt
Filed under: Ananas comosus (pineapple)
Lineage: Eukaryota; Viridiplantae; Streptophyta; Magnoliopsida; Poales; Bromeliaceae
Description: long non-coding RNA (ACOM_LNC030483)
Source: RNAcentral